Molecule: long non-coding RNA, 241 nt
Filed under: Castor canadensis (American beaver)
Lineage: Eukaryota; Metazoa; Chordata; Mammalia; Rodentia; Castoridae
Description: lncRNA (ENSCCNG00000018770.1)
Source: RNAcentral
GAGCGGGCUGCAGGGCGCUCGGGCCGCCGGAGCCCGCGCAGCGCAGCGUACCCGCACCCGCACCCGCACCUCUCGGCGCCAGCGCCCGGGAGCCGCCCCUCUCCGGUGAAGACUGAUGUUAGGAGUUGAAGGUGAGCUUGAAAAGGUACACCGCAACUAUACAAUGGGCACCGGUUACAUCCUGAAGUGCCGUCAGCUAUAACCAAAGUUCCUGAUCCCAAGACCACAGACAAAAGUUCCC